AUGUCUACCACCUUUGAAUAUGCUCUGCUACACCGUGGAUACGACGUCUCUAUUACGAGUAAAUUGGGAGAAGGUGGUUUUGGUAUCGUAUACGCGGGAGUACGCUUGAACGAUAACGCUCCUAUAGCUGUUAAAUAUAUUUAUCACAAAGAUGUUUGGAGGUGGCAUACUGUGAAACAACCGUUUCAAUCGAAAAUACCAAUGGAAAUACACAUGUUGAAAAGAGUAAAUAAAGUUGAUGGUACUAUUAAGUUGUACGAUUGGUUCAAAAUUGAACACGGUUAUGUAUUGGUUAUGGAGAGAUCGAUUAAAAGUAUCUCACUUUAUUCAUAUAUGAAGACGCAUGUUCUCAACGAAAAAGAAAUUAUUAAUAUAUUUAAACGUCUCGUACAAAUAACUUACGACUGUUGGGUCAAAUGUGGAAUUAUUCACUGUGAUUUAAAAGAAGCAAAUAUACUCAUCAAUAAAGAAACAAUGGCAAUUACCAUUUUAGAUUUCGAUUUUGCAGUAGAGUGUUCAAAACGUCUUAGGAGAACAUACGCAGGAACACCACUUUAUGCGCCACCAGAAUGGUAUAUAAAUGGUAUAUAUUACCCCGAGAGUACCGUCGUAUGGACUCUAGGCGUUAUACUCUGGAAGCUAUUGUUCAGAAAAAGCCCUUUCAAGACAACGAAAGACAUUAGGAAAUUCGAAACUUUAGAAACCAUUGACCCUUUUGAAACAGAGAAACUGUUAUAUUCUUCAAAUGUUAUUUCUUUGUUAACGUCACUCAUGAGGAAAAAAAUAAACGAAAGGCCCGGUAUAGACGUACUUCACAAGUUAGCGCUAAGUCUUUGACAAGAACAAUUGUACGUUUUGAAAUAAAGUGUUUCAAUAAUCAAAAAAAACACACACAAAAAAUAUCUUGUGGAGGGUAUUGCUCUUAAAAACGUAUGACAUUUAAUUAUUACAUUUUCUUUCGUAUUCCUUCACAUUUCUAUACAAUAUACAUAUAGACUUUUCUUUGCGUUAUUGUUAUUGUAAAGAAAAAAUAGAGUGUGUGGAGUGGUAUAUAAAAAAGACCCACCCCCAAAAAAGAGAGUGUGGGGGUGUGUAUAUGUUGUCUAUACGAAGUUUACGUGCUUUUUUUGUGUAUGUGUGUGUCUGUGUGCGUCUGGGUGUUGGUAGAAUGAAAGAAAGAAGAUAUUGGAUGAGAGUGUACCAUGCUCUCCGAUUGGAUGGGUACGUUAAUAAAACAAUAUUUAUCCCUUCCAAAAGCAUUUGUUUAUAUUGUGGCUGUUAUUUUUUUUUCGUAUAGUAACACGAGACGCUACGCAUAUUUGCCUAUAUAUAGGCCGUACAUGUAACUACGAAUAUCAGUCUACGAGAUGAACUUCCCUAAAAAGGAUCGUAAGCGUAAGAGUGACAGUUCGUUCGGCGCACGGACUUCUUCUUCUUCCGAGCCUAUAGCCGUACUCGUACCAUCGAAUACGUCGUUUUCAGAUUCACCGUCUAUGCAACUGCAAACUAAAAGUAAACGUCGUCGAAGAGGGAAUAGAAGUUCGUCGAUUGAUUUGAAUGAAGAAAAGGUUAAUUCAUUGUUUCUCAAGAAAAGAAGUUUGACGAGAUGUGCUAAGCAGUAUGGAAGCGUAUUGCCAAUCUUCGAAGAACUCCCAUCGGAUUGGGAUAUGCUAACUUUUAAAAUAGUGAUGCCUAACAACAUUAUAAAAGAUUUAAUUCAUUUAACAGUCUUUUAUUCGACUCAGGAUUUUAUACCAGCAAUAGAUACGUCCAUGUAUCUACCAUACAUGGAUGUUAAGUUAAUUAGAGAUCUUCAAGAAAGAUCCGUUGCUAAAAGUUUGAUGGUAGUGCUCAAGAAAACCAUCGAGAAGUUAGACUCGAAGAUAUUGUUGCCACUAAGAAAAGAUAUGGAUAGAAGCAAAUUAUUUUACUACCGCUCUGGGAAGAAUAUUUCAAUUCAACCUAAUGUUUUGCAACCCAUUAUAUUAGAGAGUAUUACAGUUAUGAAACCAGUAUGGAAUAUUGGUUUUAAUCUAUUCAAUGGAUAUACAUUACCGUAUUAUUAUCCGUACAAAUAUAUAGCCACCAAGACUCACCGACCCACUGUUGGGAACAGUGCUAUGCUCGAAUAUUUUAUGAUACCAGCAUUAACGUCGCAGGAGGUCCGAAACAACAUCAAGGAAUUCUUACACGAAACUCCAUCUGAUCAACAGGACGUUAUGGUGAAUCAAAUCGUAGAAAGCAUCAAGACGGUUUGUACCCUUCCCAUGUUUACAACCGACGACGAUUUAUGGAACGUGUUUUCAAAAUUCGUCAUCAGUCAGAAAAACGAUUUGGAUUCCAUGAGCAGCAUUGUCGAAAGUAUGUGUGCAUAUCCAGCCAUUUGGGAACAACCACACGUGUACGCAAGCGGUGUGCGGAGUGUGAAUGCGCAAGUUCCUUGGGACUUUCUGAAGGAAUUUUUGACUAAUAUUUUUUUUUCGUGUAAAAAUGAGGGUAAUCAACUGGACACUUCUUUACUCGAAGCUUCUUUUUUCUUUUACGUCAUUUAUAGUGUAAUUCGAUACAGUGAUCCCAUGGAUUGUACCUUUAUUAUCGAAUGCACAAAUGUACAAGUAUUGGCAGAAUUCUAUUCGAGGAUGCGACCUAUACUAAAUCCCUUUAACAUGAAGCUGAAUACUCCAGCUUCCUUAUUUAUGGUGAGGCAUAACAUAAAGUCUAUCGUCGAUUCAAACUUUGGCACUGUCAAUGAGAACAUGAAACAUGCACAAGAAGGCAAACGCACUGCUGUGGGGUUCGCUCACGUUGCAAGGCAUACUAUUACAAAUCCAAAAACCUCUAAUAGAGGAAAUAAAAAAAGUUUCAUAUUUCAUCUUACGAAUUUUUGGGAAUCUGGUCAAGACGAAGCCUUUGCCAAUAGGUUCUUGCACCCACAAAUCUUCAUUGAUAUAAUGAGUACUCUUAUGAGUAUUUAUACUAAUACAAACGUUGAAGACAUUACGGACACUCGUCUACAUAUGUGGUCUAAACAAUGUCUUAGUGAAGUACUUAAUUCAAUCCGUAUAUUCACGAGAAUAAUGCCAUCAAGCAACAAUUGUGUCGCCGCUGCUGCUGCUGCUGCUGCUGUUAAAAGCAAUGAGAAGGAAACACCUCAAACUUCUGCUGCAAUACAAGUGUCAACGGACGAUCCAGAGGAUCAGGUUUUUCAAGAUGUGCGAGAUCGCAUUAACCAAUUGACAGAAUCUUCGGAUCCCUGGGGAGGAUGUGACGAAGACAUGGCAUGGACAUCGAGAAUCGACAACGCUUCGAAUGAAAAACCAAUGCUGGGGGUAGGGGGUUCCGAAGAGGAAAAAGAAGGGCUCGAUAAGCCGACCGAACAUGGUGUUGACAACGCAGUAGAAGAUGGCAAGGAAUAUCAGGCUGCGAUUACCCAAGUUCGCAAAGACAACGAAGAAGAGUGCAUAACACAAGUUGUAAAAAGCUAUGACGGACAACCGAUAUGCCAGGAAGAGUCCCAAUAUCAUGGAAGCGAAAGAGCGCUUAUUGGUAACGAUGGCAUAGUUAUUCAAGAUUGCCAAUACGAUAAAGAGUGUGAUAUACAAUUCAUGACUAAUGGGGAAGAAGAAAUGUGUGACAAACAUAAGCGCUACUCUGAAGCAGGCGCUUGUGACAACGUUGAACUCUAUGAUAAAGUUAAUGGAGAUAUCGACGACCGACCAGCACCCCCUUUGGUGGACGAGGUGUCCUGGCAACCACCACUCAAUCUUGACGAUGUUCUGAAACAAUCCAUUGCCGAGUGUGAUUUACCUUGCAAUGAAGAUGUCGGCUGUAACGAAGAUGCACCCUGCAUGCAAGGUCGAAUCAAUUUUGACGAGAUCUAUUUACGUACACCAUGUCCUAGCUCGUCAAAAGAACCUGGUACAUCGAUUAUCAACAGGGUGGCUAUUAAUAACGUAUGCAAGCGAAGAUUAGCAGAAGAAUUAUUUCAAGGUAUCCAUACAGACUCUGAGUUUAAUUUUGACCCUUGAUUACUAAAGAGAGGAUGAACAAGUCUUAUAUUGAAGAUCUAAUCAAAUACGGUUUUGAUAGUAAUGACAGUAUUGACGAUUGUUUAUCACAAUCGUCAAUAUAUGAUACAUUAAUUGACGAUAGCGUCUAUAGUGAUACUUAUUGUGACAAUGCGGACGAUGAUAAUGACAAUACAUCGUAUUAUAAUCGAGUCAA
Molecule: RNA transcript, 4224 nt
Organism: Ixodes scapularis (black-legged tick)
Lineage: Eukaryota; Metazoa; Arthropoda; Arachnida; Ixodida; Ixodidae
Exons: 4
Source: RefSeq, a predicted model, not a curated record